RNAcentral lists this ribosomal RNA (746 nucleotides) under uncultured bacterium. RNAcentral's name for it is "bacterial SSU rRNA". It matches the Rfam family "Bacterial small subunit ribosomal RNA", at positions 80 to 805 of the family's 1533-position model. The record is from RNAcentral.
CAAUCCAUGAGUAGAGUGGCAAACGGGUGAGUAACGCGUGGGCGACCUACCUUCGAGUGGGGGAUAACCUUCCGAAAGGAGGGCUAAUACCGCAUGACAUCCCGUGUUUGGAUACACGGACAUCAAAGCCGGGGAUCGCAAGACCUGGCGCUUGAAGAGGGGCCCGCGUCCGAUUAGCUAGUUGGUGGGGUAACGGCUCACCAAGGCUCCGAUCGGUAUCCGGCCUGAGAGGGCGGACGGACACACUGGAACUGAGACACGGUCCAGACUCCUACGGGAGGCAGCAGUGGGGAAUUGUUCGCAAUGGGCGCAAGCCUGACGACGCAACGCCGCGUGGAGGAUGAAGACCUUCGGGUCGUAAACUCCUUUCGACCGAGAUGAAUUCUCGCCGACCUAACACGUCGGCGAGGUGACAGUAUCGAGGGAAGCAGCCCCGGCUAACUCCGUGCCAGCAGCCGCGGUAAUACGGGGGGGGCGAGCGUUGUUCGGAAUUACUGGGCGUAAAGGGUUUGUAGGUGGUCUGCUAAGUCAGACGUGAAAUCCCUCAGCUUAACUGGGGAACUGCGUCUGAUACUGGCGGACUUGAGGACAGGAGAGGAACGCGGAAUUCCAGGUGUAGCGGUGAAAUGCGUAGAUAUCUGGAGGAACACCGGUGGCGAAGGCGGCGUUCUGGACUGUUUCUGACACUGAAAAACGAAAGCCAGGGGAGCAAACGGGAUUAGAUACCCCGGUAGUCCUGGCCCUAA